This 1166-nucleotide long non-coding RNA is filed under the name Marmota monax (woodchuck). The record is from RNAcentral. Lineage: Eukaryota; Metazoa; Chordata; Mammalia; Rodentia; Sciuridae.
AAAUUAAUUAAAGACACAAAGCCUUAGAGAAGCUCAACUCAAGAAAAUCAGCCAUGCUCAGAGGCAAGCAGGGACACCGAGUGGACUAAUGCUUAUAGCCCUCUCACCCCAUACCUCAUGCUCCUGCUUAUAGACCUACGUGUAUAUCUUGCUUCCACUGCCUAAUUCUCAUUUCUUUUAGUCCAGUAUCCUUUCUAUAACUGGUCCACAUUCAUAGAGCCAAUUUCUUUUCCCUUGUCUUUCAAAAACUGUAUCUAAACACAUUCACGCAAUUCAGAGGACAUGGGGCACUGCUGGGAGACAUUUCUAACUUCUCCUAACUUGCUGGGCACAUCAGUAAAGCUGAGGAACUGCCCAUCUGAAUGGCAGCUUUAUUCCAAGGGAUUCCCCUUUGCUAGUGGGUUCCUGCCUCUUUAUCAAACCUUCUCCAUGCAUAAUUACUUGAGUGAACAAAAGUCAUACUUUUUAAAACAUGGAAAGAAUGUUCUAAAGUAAUUUCACAACAUGAUUUGUGAAAUGGAAUGGGUGAGCAGAUGGACGAUGGAUGGAUAAAUAAAAAAUUGCCUGGGCAGGUGGAUGAGUAGAAGAAAAAAAUCUAUCCUGUUUAGUCAGAUAUCUAUUGCAAUUGUUGUUUAAAAAAAAAGAAAGAAAGAAAAUAAAAAACAAUAGAGCACCUGGAUUUUCUUAGGCUUUUUUUUUUAAUUUUAAUUAGGUAUAUAUGACAGCAGAAUGUAUUUUGAUUCCUUGUACACAAUUGCAGCACAAUUGUACAAGAUGUAGCAUCGCACCAUAAUGUGCAGUCAUACAUGCAACUAGGGUAAUGAUGUCCAUCUCAUUCCUCUAUCUUUCCUACCCCCAUGCCCCCUCACCACCUUUCCCUCCCCUGUGCCCCAUCAAAGUUCCUCUAUUUUUCCCAUGUUCCCCCAAUUACAGAUCAGCAUCAACUUAUCAGAGAGAACAUUCGGCCUUUGGUUUUUUGGGAUUGGCUUGCUUCACCUAGCACAAUAUUCUCCAACUCCAUCCAUUUACCUGCAAAUCUGGCUUUUCUUAAUUUGUAUUAGGGAAGAAUGGUGGAGGAGGGAAGGGGGAAUAAGAUGAUUUGUUUUCAUUUCUUGCAAUACCUAAGAAGUAUGUGUAUUUAUUAUUAAAUAAAUAAAUAAAAGUCC